GAUGAACGCUGGCGGCGUGCCUAAUACAUGCAAGUAGAACGCUGAAGCUUGGUGCUUGCACCGAGCGGAUGAGUUGCGAACGGGUGAGUAACGCGUAGGUAACCUGCCUCUUAGCGGGGGAUAACUAUUGGAAACGAUAGCUAAUACCGCAUAAAAGUCGAUAUCGCAUGAUAUUGAUUUGAAAGGUGCAAUUGCAUCACUAAGAGAUGGACCUGCGUUGUAUUAGCUAGUUGGUGAGGUAACGGCUCACCAAGGCGACGAUACAUAGCCGACCUGAGAGGGUGAUCGGCCACACUGGGACUGAGACACGGCCCAGACUCCUACGGGAGGCAGCAGUAGGGAAUCUUCGGCAAUGGGGGCAACCCUGACCGAGCAACGCCGCGUGAGUGAAGAAGGUUUUCGGAUCGUAAAGCCCUGUUGUAAGAGAAGAACGAGUGUGAGAGUGGAAAGUUCACACUGUGACGGUAACUUACCAGAAAGGGACGGCUAACUACGUGCCGGCAGCCGCGGUAAUACGUAGGUCCCGAGCGUUAUCCGGAUUUAUUGGGCGUAAAGCGAGCGCAGGCGGUUAGAUAAGUCUGAAGUUAAAGGCUGUGGCUUAACCAUAGUACGCUUUGGAAACUGUUUAACUUGAGUGCAGAAGGGGAGAGUGGAAUUCCAUGUGUAGCGGUGAAAUGCGUAGAUAUAUGGAGGAACACCGGUGGCGAAAGCGGCUCUCUGGUCUGUAACUGACGCUGAGGCUCGAAAGCGUGGGGAGCAAACAGG
This 765-nucleotide ribosomal RNA is filed under the name uncultured Streptococcus sp. Its description in RNAcentral is "bacterial SSU rRNA". It matches the Rfam family "Bacterial small subunit ribosomal RNA", at positions 28 to 776 of the family's 1533-position model. Lineage: Bacteria; Bacillati; Bacillota; Bacilli; Lactobacillales; Streptococcaceae. The record is from RNAcentral.